This 706-nucleotide long non-coding RNA is filed under the name Medicago truncatula (barrel medic). RNAcentral describes it as "long non-coding RNA (MTRU_LNC007907)". Lineage: Eukaryota; Viridiplantae; Streptophyta; Magnoliopsida; Fabales; Fabaceae. The record is from RNAcentral.
CAAAUGGGUGGAGUGGAGAAAGUGUUUACGCAAUAUUUUAGUGUGACAGAAGGAGAGAGGCUAUCAAAAGUUUCACAGUGUUAUCUAUCCACCACAUCUGGUCCUCUAGCUGGUCUGCUCUUCAUCUCCAAUGAAAAGGUUGCCUUCUGCAGUGAGAGAUCAAUAAAAGUCUUCAAUCAGAAAGGUCAAAUGCGUAGGAUCCGAUAUAAGGUAUGUCCUGAACUAAAUAAGUACAUAAACAAAACUCUUCUUACAUCUCAGUUUCCCUAAUCCAAUAUUUGUUAUGUGCAGGUGGCCAUUCCACUGAAGAAUAUCAAGUGUGUGAAUCAAAGUCAAAAUGUUGAGAAGCCAACACAAAAGUACAUAAAGAUAGUUACAGAAGACGGUUUUGAUUUCUGGCUUAUGGGUGUUCUAAAAUAUCAGAAAACUUUCAAAUAUCUCGAGCAGGCAAUUUCUCAAUCAAGAGUAGAUGAAUAUAACAAGUCCACUAUUAGUGCAUAAUAACAAAGAAUUUAAGAUAUAACAUACAACAUGCAACGAAAUUACAGUUGUUAUUUGACCUGAGAUUGACCGUUGAAAAUAGAUGCACAUGGUUCAUUCAUAUCGUAUCAGAUGCAAAUUUUGCUGUCAACAUAUUGUUGAUAAAGUUAUUGAUGCAAGAGAUCAUUCGGCGCGUGCUCUUUAACAAAACCCCAUGCCAUGACUG